Molecule: long non-coding RNA, 643 nt
Organism: Leopardus geoffroyi (Geoffroy's cat)
Lineage: Eukaryota; Metazoa; Chordata; Mammalia; Carnivora; Felidae
Exons: 2
Source: RefSeq, a predicted model, not a curated record
UGCGCUGGCAAGUUGCUUGUUGCGCUGCUCUGGCCUUAGCCACGUCCUCAUCACCUGUGCCGGCCAUCUGAGUGUCCGGCCUUCUCAGUCCUCAAACCCCAAUCAAGAGUGAACAUAGCCCUCACCCCCAAAAAUUUCCUUCGGCCCGUUGGGAAGGGGAAAGGCAGAAGACUUGCACUGACCUUCACAAAGAAGAAGAUCCAAAUGGAUGAAGAUCCAAGCAGAUGAAAAGGCAUUCAACAUCAUUAGGUCAACAAGAAAAUGCAAAUUAACACCACAAUUGAUUUACCACUAUAAAUCAAAACUCUCAACCUCCCACCAUACUGCAACCCGUCUGGAAAACUGGCAGCAUUAUUAAAGCUAAAUAUACAUAUAUGCCCUAUGACCUAGUAGCUCCAUUUCUGGAUAUAUGCCCAAUACAAAUGAAUGCUUAUGUCCAGAGAAAGACAUGUAGAGGAAUGUUCAUGGAAGCUUUAUUUCUAAUGGCUAAAACUAGAAACAAGCCCAAUUCCAUCAACAAUAGAAUGCACAACCAUAUUUUGUUAUACUCAUAAAUUGAAAUACUACCAUAUGUUGUGGAAUACAAUAAUGAAAAAGAACAAACCACUGCUGCAUGCAAGCAUGUGGAUGAAUAUCACAAAUA